RNAcentral lists this ribosomal RNA (572 nucleotides) under Rhodotorula dairenensis. RNAcentral describes it as "eukaryotic LSU rRNA". It matches the Rfam family "Eukaryotic large subunit ribosomal RNA", at positions 62 to 648 of the family's 3401-position model. The record is from RNAcentral. Lineage: Eukaryota; Fungi; Basidiomycota; Microbotryomycetes; Sporidiobolales; Sporidiobolaceae.
AAACUAACAAGGAUUCCCCUAGUAGCGGCGAGCGAAGCGGGAAGAGCUCAAAUUUAUAAUCUGGCACCUUCGGUGUCCGAGUUGUAAUCUCUAGAAAUGUUUUCCGCGCUGGACCGCACACAAGUCUGUUGGAAUACAGCGGCAUAGUGGUGAGACCCCCGUAUAUGGUGCGGAUGCCCAGCGCUUUGUGAUACAUUUUCGAAGAGUCGAGUUGUUUGGGAAUGCAGCUCAAAUUGGGUGGUAAAUUCCAUCUAAAGCUAAAUAUUGGCGAGAGACCGAUAGCGAACAAGUACCGUGAGGGAAAGAUGAAAAGCACUUUGGAAAGAGAGUUAACAGUACGUGAAAUUGUUGGAAGGGAAACGCUUGAAGUCAGACUUGCUUGCCGAGCAAUCGGUUUGCAGGCCAGCAUCAGUUUUCCGGGAUGGAUAAUGGUAGAGAGAAGGUAGCAGUUUCGGCUGUGUUAUAGCUCUCUACUGGAUACAUCCUUGGGGGACUGAGGAACGCAGUGUGCCUUACGGCGGGGGUUUCGACCUCUUCACACUUAGGAUGCUGGUGGAAUGGCUUUAAACGAC